Molecule: long non-coding RNA, 734 nt
Organism: Passer domesticus (house sparrow)
Lineage: Eukaryota; Metazoa; Chordata; Aves; Passeriformes; Passeridae
Exons: 3
Source: RefSeq, a predicted model, not a curated record
UCAGACCUUCACAGAGCUCUUGUGAUGGCUCUGAAUGAGGUUGGCAGGAACAGAUGUGGCUGAGUGAGCACACAAAGGCACAGAGAACAACACGGAACUUGCAAAGUGCACGGAAUAACAAAGGUGCCACUCCAGCAAUCCAGCUGCUGAACAGGUUGCUUUUGGGGAGGGUGGAAAGUCUGAACCCUGGGACACUUGUCCUCUCUGGAAUCACAGCAGCUGUUGCAUGUCUUCCCUGAGGUGCAGCUCUCUCAAUGAAUACGACAGAAUAAGAUGAUGAAAGGGGCAAUGUCUCCACACGAGGGCAAUCUUAUCCUGUCAUUUGUGGGAAAUGAGCUGAAAUUCCCUGACCAAGGUUAAAGAGGCUCUCAAGAGCUGUUUCCUACCAGAGAGUGCAAACGGAAACAUUCCUCUUGGACUGGAGAUGCAUUUAAGGGCAGAACAGAAGUCAAAAUUGAAAGGAAAAUAAUUAAAAAAGUGGUUUUUUACACUUUUCCUUGCAUCUUUCCUUAACAAAACCCUGCUGGCUGCCCCAGUCACCUUCUUUUCCUGUAUAUGGCUAUAAAAUUCCUCCAUGGGGAUCCUUUUCCAGGACUUUCCCAGGGACUGAGGUGAGGCUGACUUGCUUGUAGUUCCCAAACUUCCUCUUGAGUUUCCUCUGGAAGAUGGGUGAGAUGCUGAGGUUCAUUUUUCAAUAAGUUUCUUUUUCACCAUGAUCUUUCAGAAAUGACAGA